UUAUAAAUUAUUAAUUAGUUUGAUUCUGAUUAAAAAAUUAAUUUUUUGGAGUAUAUACAUGUAAAUUUUUAAUUUAUAAAUUUUUAUAUUGCAGUAUUUUAUUUUAAAUAUAAAGUUAUUUUUGAUUUGGUUAUUCAUUAUAAUAUUGUAAAUGUUUGUGCCAGCAUACGCGGUUAUACAAUAAAUAUGAAUUAAUAAUUUUGGUUUUAAAGUUAAAAUUUUUAAUGAAUUUAAUUUUUUAAUUUUUAGGUGAAAUUUAAAUUUUAAUUAAGUUUAUGUUGAUUCUUUGAAAUUUAUAAUUUAAACUAGGAUUAGAUACCCUAUUAUAAUAUAUUUUAAUAAAUUAACCUGGGUAGUAAUAGUUAUGUUCUUUAAACUUUAAGAAUUUGGCGGUAUUUUAGUCUAUUUAGAGGAAUUUGUCCCGUAAUCGAUAAUCCCCGUUUUAUCUUUCUUAAUUUUGUUAUCAGUAUGUAUACCGCCGUUAAAAGUUUAUUUUAUUAGAUUAUUAAUUUACUUAAUUCUUUAUUUUGAAUUAUUUCAGGUCAAGGUGCAGCCAAUAAUUAAGUGGUGAUGAAUUACAUUAUUUUUGAAUAUAUGGAUUUUAUUUUUAAAAAUAGUAUGAAAGUGGAUUUAAUUGUAAUUUUAUCUAUAGAUAUAAUAUGAUUUUAGCUCUAAAAUAAGUACAUAUUGCCCGUCACUCUCAAUUUAUUUGAGAUAAGUCGUAACAUAGUAGGUGUACUGGAAAGUGUACCUAGUAUUAUUUU
Molecule: non-coding RNA, 764 nt
Filed under: Micadina phluctainoides
Lineage: Eukaryota; Metazoa; Arthropoda; Insecta; Phasmatodea; Lonchodidae
Source: RNAcentral